GAAGCCUUUCGGGGUGGAUUAGUGGCGAACGGGUGAGUAACACGUGGGCAAUCUGCCCUUCACUCUGGGACAAGCCCUGGAAACGGGGUCUAAUACCGGAUAACACUCUGUCCCGCAUGGGACGGGGUUAAAAGCUCCGGCGGUGAAGGAUGAGCCCGCGGCCUAUCAGCUUGUUGGUGGGGUGAUGGCCUACCAAGGCGACGACGGGUAGCCGGCCUGAGAGGGCGACCGGCCACACUGGGACUGAGACACGGCCCAGACUCCUACGGGAGGCAGCAGUGGGGAAUAUUGCACAAUGGGCGAAAGCCUGAUGCAGCGACGCCGCGUGAGGGAUGACGGCCUUCGGGUUGUAAACCUCUUUCAGCAGGGAAGAAGCGAAAGUGACGGUACCUGCAGAAGAAGCGCCGGCUAACUACGUGCCAGCAGCCGCGGUAAUACGUAGGGCGCAAGCGUUGUCCGGAAUUAUUGGGCGUAAAGAGCUCGUAGGCGGCUUGUCACGUCGGAUGUGAAAGCCCGGGGCUUAACCCCGGGUCUGCAUUCGAUACGGGCUAGCUAGAGUGUGGUAGGGGAGAUCGGAAUUCCUGGUGUAGCGGUGAAAUGCGCAGAUAUCAGGAGGAACACCGGUGGCGAAGGCGGAUCUCUGGGCCAUUACUGACGCUGAGGAGCGAAAGCGUG
Molecule: ribosomal RNA, 675 nt
Filed under: Streptomyces griseolus
Lineage: Bacteria; Bacillati; Actinomycetota; Actinomycetes; Kitasatosporales; Streptomycetaceae
Description: bacterial SSU rRNA
Rfam family: Bacterial small subunit ribosomal RNA
Source: RNAcentral